UGUUUCGGCUAGGGGGCCAUCCCGGCUUACCAACCCGAUGCAAACUACGAAUACCGAAGAAUGUUAUCACGGGAGACACACGGCGGGUGCUAACGUCCGUCGUGAAGAGGGAAACAACCCAGACCGCCAGCUAAGGUCCCAAAGUCAUGGUUAAGUGGGAAACGAUGUGGGAAGGCACAGACAGCCAGGAUGUUGGCUUAGAAGCAGCCAUCAUUUAAAGAAAGCGUAAUAGCUCACUGGUCGAGUCGGCCUGCGCGGAAGAUGUAACGGGGCUAAACCAUGCA
Molecule: ribosomal RNA, 284 nt
Filed under: Enterobacter asburiae
Lineage: Bacteria; Pseudomonadati; Pseudomonadota; Gammaproteobacteria; Enterobacterales; Enterobacteriaceae
Description: partial 23S ribosomal RNA
Rfam family: Bacterial large subunit ribosomal RNA
Source: RNAcentral